Molecule: non-coding RNA, 47 nt
Organism: Schistosoma curassoni
Lineage: Eukaryota; Metazoa; Platyhelminthes; Trematoda; Strigeidida; Schistosomatidae
Source: Rfam
CUAAUGGUUUUAUUCAAAACUAUAUUUUUGUUACAAUACAGAAUUCU